AUAAGCUCAGCUGAAGCUUUGUAGUACCUGAGGAAGGCAAGAAAGGAUAUAAAGAAAAUAAGAAACAACACUUUCUCUGCACAUCCAAAUUGUGGCAAGGAUUUUUGCAGAUUGCCACCAGUUCACUGAGAGGAGUCAUUGAAAACAUGGCAUUGAGGACAGAGACUGCCACUUCAGAAUUUUCUACAUCCAACUGCUGAAGCCACUCGAAGAUAUUUCCCUCAGAGAACCAUAACCAGCUUUGGAGAAGAUGCUUCCACAUAGCUUGUUUCACAGCAUCUCAUCUCUCAUUAAAACCUUGUUGAGGGAGCAUUACUGUCUGAGCAAUGGACAUAGCUCUCAUACGAACCUUUUCAGCUAACACCGGAUAAGCCAGCUUUCUGACAGCCUCUUUCACAUCCUUGGUGCACCCUACAAUUUUUGGCAAAGUCUUUGCUGAUGGUGCAAUACAUGAUAACACUGCCUGUCUAAGUUCUGGAUUCAAAUCAAUCAUUUUCGAUCAAAGUAGCAUAUGCAUUAACCACUGGGCAUUCAUCAUCCUUUGGAUCCUGAAGUCGUGAAAGCGCCAGAACUGCCUGUAUUCUCACAUUUGGAAUCUUAUCUUUCAGUCUAAUAAGCAUGGCUUCAUUAAUUUUGUCAAACACACCAUCAUCAAUCUGAGCUUCUUCUGGCAUACUUCUCAAAAGCUUGUUUAUGCAGCUCCUGGUUCUUGAACUAACGUAGGCAUCAGCACAGCUGAUUCUCAUUCAGGAGAAGACAGUGCUGUGCCCAGGGGCCCCUGAGCCAUUGCCCAGCUUUCCAGCUUUCCAGGAAGUCUGCACUGGAGAAGCAUUCAACCUCCUCUGAGCUAACAUUUUCAUGUGCACACGUGAUUAUGAGUGUGAUACAGACAUUAUUUUACUUGUGUAACUAAUUUUUAAAUCAG
Molecule: long non-coding RNA, 925 nt
Filed under: Homo sapiens (human)
Lineage: Eukaryota; Metazoa; Chordata; Mammalia; Primates; Hominidae
Description: HSALNT0380369
Source: RNAcentral